GUGUUCCCUUUGGCAGCACAUAUGCUAAAAUUGGAACGAUACAGAGAAGAUUAGCAUGGCCCCUGUGCAAGGAUGACACGCAAAUUCGUGAAGCAUUAUUUU
Small nuclear RNA from Dromiciops gliroides (monito del monte), 102 nucleotides. The record is from RefSeq and is a predicted model, not a curated record. NCBI's taxonomy places the organism in Eukaryota, Metazoa, Chordata, Mammalia, Microbiotheria, Microbiotheriidae.